CCGGUGAGUGAUGAAGGUUCCGGAUCGUAAAACUCUGUUGUUAGGGAAGAACAAGUGCCAAGUAACUGAUGGCGCCUUGACGGUACCUAACCAGAAAGCCACGGCUAACUACGUGCCAGCAGCCGCGGUAAUACGUAGGUGGCAAGCGUUGUCCGGAAUUAUUGGGCGUAAAGCGCUCGCAGGCGGUUCUUUAAGUCUGAUGUGAAAUCUUACGGCUCAACCGUAAACGUGCAUUGGAAACUGGGGAACUUGAGUGCAGAAGAGGAGAGUGGAAUUCCACGUGUAGCGGUGAAAUGCGUAGAGAUGUGGAGGAACACCAGUGGCGAACGCGACUCUCUGGUCUGUAACUGACGCUGAGGAGCGAAAGCGUGGGGAGCGAACAGGAUUAGAUACCCUGGUAGUCCACGCCGUAAACGAUGAGUGCUAGGUGUCAGGGGGUUUCCGCCCCUUAGUGCUGAAGUUAACGCAUUAAGCACUCCGCCUGGGGAGUACGGCCGCAAUGCUGAAACUCAACAGAAUUGACGGGGGCCCGCACAAGCGGUGCGAGCAUGUGGUUUAGUUCGAAGCCACGCGGAAGAACCUUACCAGGUCUUGAC
This 596-nucleotide ribosomal RNA is filed under the name uncultured bacterium. RNAcentral describes it as "bacterial SSU rRNA". It matches the Rfam family "Bacterial small subunit ribosomal RNA", at positions 398 to 985 of the family's 1533-position model. The record is from RNAcentral.